This 480-nucleotide ribosomal RNA is filed under the name uncultured bacterium. RNAcentral's name for it is "partial 16S ribosomal RNA". It matches the Rfam family "Bacterial small subunit ribosomal RNA", at positions 28 to 523 of the family's 1533-position model. The record is from RNAcentral.
GACGAACGCUGGCGGCGUGCUUAACACAUGCAAGUCGAACGAUGAAGGAGAGCUUGCUCUCCGGAUUAGUGGCGAACGGGUGAGUAACACGUGACUAACCUGCCCCUUUCUCUGGGAUAACGCUCCGAAAGGAGUGCUAAUACCGGAUACGAGCCCUGAACACAUGUUCGGAGUUGAAAGUUUUUCGGAAAGGGAUGGAGUCGCGGCCUAUCAGCUUGUUGGUGAGGUAACGGCUCACCAAGGCGACGACGGGUAGCCGGCCUGAGAGGGCGACCGGCCAAACUGGGACUGAGACACGGCCCAGACUCCUACGGGAGGCAGCAGUGGGGAAUAUUGCACAAUGGGCGAAAGCCUGAUGCAGCGACGCCGCGUGAGGGAUGAAGGUCUUCGGAUUGUAAACCUCUUUCAGUAGGGACGAAGCGAAAGUGACAGUACCUAAAGAAGAAGCACCGGCUAACUACGUGCCAGCCGCCGCAGUAA